GUACGAGUUGUGCUUACGGACGAGACUGACGUGUUUGUUGGGGAUUACGCUUUAAGACAAGUGCGACCUGUGGACUCUGAUGUGUUCAAACUGUGCUGCUAGCAUGUGUUAAGUGCUGUGGACAAUGUUUCUCGUGCUAUUGCUGCUGGCCUCGGCCGCCGGCGCCGAGAUCCAGGAAAGAGGUAAGAAACUUUUCCACGUGACACAAACAUGGCAGUUGUACAGUAAGUAGUGUUAAAAAUUUCUCAGAUUCCUUGGCAUACCGCUGGGCUACAACACGAGAGUUAUUUGGCUAUGAUUUUUUUAUAAGGUUGAGAUACUCACGAAACGGACUGUUCCAAAGACAUUUUCCAA
Molecule: unclassified non-coding RNA, 354 nt
Filed under: Melitaea cinxia (Glanville fritillary)
Lineage: Eukaryota; Metazoa; Arthropoda; Insecta; Lepidoptera; Nymphalidae
Description: misc RNA ENSMCXG00005014335.1
Source: RNAcentral